Molecule: ribosomal RNA, 329 nt
Filed under: uncultured Euglyphida
Lineage: Eukaryota; Cercozoa; Imbricatea; Euglyphida
Description: SSU rRNA
Rfam family: Eukaryotic small subunit ribosomal RNA (bases 108-329)
Source: RNAcentral
GAUUUCUGGUAUUUCGGCCUUGGUCCGCUGCUUUAACGGGCAGUUGUGUUUGCCGAGGUUGGGUGCCAUCCUCCUGGGGUGCCUAGCCUGCCCUUUACUGGGUUGGGCUAGUGUGUUCUGGGACUUUUACUUUGAAAAAAUUAGAGUGUUUAAAGCAGGCUUACGCUUUUGAAUAGAUUAGCAUGGAAUAAUAAUAUAGGACAGGGUCCCUAUUUUGUUGGUUUCUAGGGAUGCUGUAAUGAUUGAUAGGGAUAGUUGGGGGUGCUCGUAUUGAGUGGCCAGAGGUGAAAUUCUUGGAUUCACUCAAGACGAACUACUGCGAAAGCAUU